RNAcentral lists this ribosomal RNA (588 nucleotides) under uncultured bacterium. Its description in RNAcentral is "partial 16S ribosomal RNA". It matches the Rfam family "Bacterial small subunit ribosomal RNA", at positions 355 to 1375 of the family's 1533-position model. The record is from RNAcentral.
UGGGGAAUUUUGGACAAUGGGCGAAAGCCUGAUCCAGCAAUGCCGCGUGUGUGAAGAAGGCCUUCGGGUUGUAAAGCACUUUUGUCCGGAAAGAAAUCCUUGGCUCUAAUACAGUCGGGGGAUGACGGUACCGGAAGAAUAAGCACCGGCUAACUACGUGCCAGCAGCCGCGGUAAUACGUAGGGUGCAAGCGUUAAUCGGAAUUACUGGGCGUAAAGCGUGCGCAGGCGGUUUGCUAAGACCGAUGUGAAAUCCCCGGGCUCAACCUGGGAACUGCAUUGGUGACUGGCAGGCUAGAGUAUGGCAGAGGGGGGUAGAAUUCCACGUGUAGCAGUGAAAUGCGUAGAGAUGUGGAGGAAUACCGAUGGCGAAGGCAGCCCCCUGGGCCAAUACUGACGCUCAUGCACGAAAGCGUGGGGGAGCAAAACAGGAUUAGAUACCCUGGUAGUCCACGCCCUAAACGAUGUCAACUAGUUGUUGGGGGAUUCAUUUCCUUAGUAACGUAGCUAACGCGUGAAGUUGACCGCCUGGGGAGUACGGUCGCAAGAUUAAAACUCAAAUGAAUUGACGGGGUCAUAGCUGUUUCCU